This 497-nucleotide ribosomal RNA is filed under the name uncultured bacterium. Its description in RNAcentral is "partial 16S ribosomal RNA". It matches the Rfam family "Bacterial small subunit ribosomal RNA", at positions 28 to 507 of the family's 1533-position model. The record is from RNAcentral.
GAUGAACGCUGGCGGCGUGCCUAAUACGUGCAAGUCGAGCGAACGGACGAGAAGCUUGCUUCUCUGAUGUUAGCGGCGGACGGGUGAGUAACACGUGGAUAACCUACCUAUAAGACUGGGAUAACUUCGGGAAACCGGAGCUAAUACCGGAUAAUAUUUUGAACCGCAUGGUUCAAAAGUGAAAGACGGUCUUGCUGUCACUUAUAGAUGGAUCCGCGCUGCAUUAGCUAGUUGGUAAGGUAACGGCUUACCAAGGCAACGAUGCAUAGCCGACCUGAGAGGGUGAACGGCCACACUGGAACUGAGACACGGUCCAGACUCCUACGGGAGGCAGCAGUAGGGAAUCUUCCGCAAUGGGCGAAAGCCUGACGGAGCAACGCCGCGUGAGUGAUGAAGGUCUUCGGAUCGUAAAACUCUGUUAUUAGGGAAGAACAUAUGUGUAAGUAACUGUGCACAUCUUGACGGUACCUAAUCAGAAAGCCACGGCUAACUACGUG